This 301-nucleotide ribosomal RNA is filed under the name uncultured bacterium. RNAcentral's name for it is "partial 16S ribosomal RNA". It matches the Rfam family "Bacterial small subunit ribosomal RNA", at positions 509 to 807 of the family's 1533-position model. The record is from RNAcentral.
CAGUCGCCGCGGGAAUACGGAGGAUCCAAGCGUUAUCCGGAAUCAUUGGGUUUAAAGGGUCCGUAGGCGGUCUUGUAAGUCAGUGGUGAAAGCACAUCGCUCAACGGUGGAACGGCCAUUGAUACUGCAGGACUUGAAUUAUUGGGAAGUAACUAGAAUAUGUAGUGUAGCGGUGAAAUGCUUAGAGAUUACAUGGAAUACCAAUUGCGAAGGCAGGUUACUACCAAUUGAUUGACGCUGAUGGACGAAAGCGUGGGUAGCGAACAGGAUUAGAUACCCCUGUAGUCCCUGUCUCUUAUAC